GAGGCCUCAUCGGGUUUGACCCCGGCAUGCUUUGACACCUUUUUCACUGUUGGAAGAUGCUCUGACUUUAAAGUAGAAAGCAGACUUGACUGAAGCUGAUUGACACAGGUCAAGGGGACUUCAAGGAAGAAAGCCAGCCUUAGACUGACAUCAGAGAACCAAACUCCGGUGUCUAAGCUCAAGAGGUUAGAAUCCUGAGAACUGUUUGGAAUAAGGAAUCCAAAUAUUGUCUUCCAGCUUCACCUUGUCACGACAGUCCUCGCCAGGGACAGCUGAGCAUCUACAUCUCCAUUUAUGCCGUGUGCACGCAGUACCAACAGAGGUCAGAGGAGGGUGUCGGAUCCCCUGGAACUGGAGUCACAGAUUCUUCCUUGCGUGGAUGAAACAGUCCCAACGAACACUUUAAAAAGACAAAUGUUCCCGACAGCACUGGUUGAAUUCAAAACUCGGCAGAUCCAUGUUCUUAUCCUUAGACAAGAGAGGGGCCAUAACAAGAUGGAAUGACGGAACAGACGUGAGAGAUGAUGUCCACCCAGAGGGUCUGCACUUCUCGGAGCCAGAAGGUGGAGAAGAGUAGGGAUGGAGGAAGUUCGAAGUUUUAGGAGUCUGCUCUUGGGUCCCUAGGCAUGAGGACAAGCUUUUCCUGUACUCAAUGCUCAUCUCUCAGUUGUGCCCACAUUGGUACACAUUACUUGCUUUCAACUGCUGCUGCUGCUGUUUCCUAAUUCAAUAAAGAUAUGGCUGGCUCAGCAGAGAGCUGUCA
RNAcentral lists this long non-coding RNA (763 nucleotides) under Mus musculus (house mouse). Its description in RNAcentral is "predicted gene 29154". The record is from RNAcentral. Lineage: Eukaryota; Metazoa; Chordata; Mammalia; Rodentia; Muridae.